Molecule: small nuclear RNA, 104 nt
Filed under: Echinops telfairi (small Madagascar hedgehog)
Lineage: Eukaryota; Metazoa; Chordata; Mammalia; Afrosoricida; Tenrecidae
Source: RNAcentral
UUGACUUCAGUGGUACACAUACUAAAAUUGAAAUGAUUCAGAGAAGAUUAGCAUGGCCCAUGCACAAGGAUGACAAGUACUUUUAAGAAGUGGUCCAUAUUUGU